AUUAGUGGCGAACGGGUGAGUAACACGUGGGCAAUCUGCCCUGCACUCUGGGACAAGCCCUGGAAACGGGGUCUAAUACCGGAUAUGACUGUCCGCCGCAUGGUGGAUGGUGUAAAGCUCCGGCGGUGCAGGAUGAGCCCGCGGCCUAUCAGCUUGUUGGUGAGGUAGUGGCUCACCAAGGCGACGACGGGUAGCCGGCCUGAGAGGGCGACCGGCCACACUGGGACUGAGACACGGCCCAGACUCCUACGGGAGGCAGCAGUGGGGAAUAUUGCACAAUGGGCGAAAGCCUGAUGCAGCGACGCCGCGUGAGGGAUGACGGCCUUCGGGUUGUAAACCUCUUUCAGCAGGGAAGAAGCGAGAGUGACGGUACCUGCAGAAGAAGCGCCGGCUAACUACGUGCCAGCAGCCGCGGUAAUACGUAGGGCGCAAGCGUUGUCCGGAAUUAUUGGGCGUAAAGAGCUCGUAGGCGGCUUGUCACGUCGGUUGUG
This 491-nucleotide ribosomal RNA is filed under the name Streptomyces sp. SUK18. Its description in RNAcentral is "bacterial SSU rRNA". It matches the Rfam family "Bacterial small subunit ribosomal RNA", at positions 91 to 596 of the family's 1533-position model. The record is from RNAcentral. Lineage: Bacteria; Bacillati; Actinomycetota; Actinomycetes; Kitasatosporales; Streptomycetaceae. RNAcentral also lists the same sequence under 1 other name.